Long non-coding RNA from Triticum aestivum (bread wheat), 626 nucleotides. RefSeq lists it as uncharacterized. NCBI's taxonomy places the organism in Eukaryota, Viridiplantae, Streptophyta, Magnoliopsida, Poales, Poaceae. The record is from RefSeq and is a predicted model, not a curated record. The transcript has 2 exons.
CCCAACCGCUCGCCCCCCCUUGAAAAUUUCUGGUAUACGCACUAGUGUAUUACGUGCGCUAAUGCCCGAGUAAUGACUUGAUUAAUGAUGGCCCAGCUGAUUUAUCCUGUAACUAGUACGCAUCAGACCCAGCCCAGUAGCCCAUGUACGAUCGUGGCCUGCCUCAUGUGUGUAAUUGUUUUGCUGGUCUAGGCCAGGUCCUAGCCCUAAUGCUAUCGAUCAGAUCAAUCGAACGUGCGCCUGACUGUAGAUGGCCGCCGCCGCCGCCGCCGUCGCUCACGACAACGCUAUACAGCUACGCGCCAGGAGGCCAGCCUAUGGAUACAAGCAGGGCAUUGCCGCAUUGCCAUCAGCCACAUAAGGAAGCUCUGCCCUUUCGUUCUUGUGUCUCCUCCAACCGUCAUCACCGGCUCAUCCCAAUGAAGCAGUUGUUGCUUCUCGGUCAGUAUCAAAUCCUAUACUAUCCAGUCCCAUGACUCAUAUUGUCAUAGCUAGACCAAAUUUAAAGGUAUAUCCAACAUACAACUAGACUAUGCAAAUUACUAGGUAAUGUUAUUGUUACAUUUCUUACUACAAUAUUUGAAGUUAUAUAACAACUAUACGUCAAGAUAAAGUUCUAAUAUUUA